CAAUUACCUGCAGGGAAUAUAUGGUAUCUCCCUAUGUACAAAGCACAGAUAUUUCCAAAACUACCUACAGUAGGAACGAAAUAUUUGAGUUCCAGGCAUCACUGGGGCUAUUGUCUAAUGCUGCUUUUCUUAACUGAUUUGCGCUUUUCUUUUCUCUGAUAAUUUUACAGUAAUAUAAGGUUUGGUGAAGAAUCUUUUCGGGUCAUUUUUAUUAGUUGCAGAACAUGAGUAGUGCUAUAAAUAUUGUCAUGUUUGGAGGACAAUAAGGCAGAUUCAGUUUUCUUCAUAAAUAAAUCUUACUUGCAAACUGUCUUGGCCACAAAUUUGGUCCCCAUGUUUAUCCAUAUUUUUCUUCAAAAACAAGGAGCUUUCUUAGAAUUCUAGGAUAUAUGGCAUUCAAAUCUAAUUUAAGGAGCCAAACUGUUAUAAAUUCUGGGGUUUUAUUUGCUGAGCCUUAUGUUUUGGUACCAGACCGUUUGAUACUUGAAAUGUCUCGGUUUUCAAAUUUGAAAGGAAGGGGUGAUAUGAGAGACAGUGUCUGAGCAUUAAGAGUCAGCCACUUGGUUAAUUUACUGAAAGUGAUGGUUUCCAAGAACAGAAAACCAAACACUGCGUGUUCUCACUCAUAAGUGGGAGCUGAACAAUAAGAACACAUUGACACAGGGAGGGGAAUAUCACACACCAAGGCCUGUCAAGGGGUGCGGGGCUAGGGGAGGGAUAGCAUUAGGAGAAAUACCUAAUGUAGAUGACGGGUUGAUGGGUGCAGCACACACACAUGCACACACAUAUAUAUAUAAAGAAAUGUUCCCAUCAUUAAUAUAGAAAUGAUACUCAAGGUGAUGCUUAACCUAAAUAUCCUGACUUAAUCAUUACACAUUUUCUGCAUCUAACAAAUAUCACACAUACUCCAUAAAUUUGUCCAAAUGUUAUGUUAUGUAUCAAUAAAAAAAUUAAAAAAAGAGCCACUGGAAUUUUGACAUAGUCUCUAUUUUUAGGUGUAGCAAGCACUAGGCAAGUUUAUGAAACAAGUGAAAUUUGUCUUAUUUAUUCCUCCAGUCUCCUAAUUCUUAUUGUUGUCUGUUCUUACUGACUCCAUUACUCCCCUCCCUGGAGGAACCCAGAGGAUCCAUGCUCACUCUACUUAUUUUCCCAUCCAAACUAUUAACAAUGGAUCCAUUAUAAAAUUAUACUAUAGCUGGUUUUUCAAAGUGCAGUUGGAGUUAUUUCAGAGGCAUGCUAAAAAUGUAGAUUCCCAGCCUUACUCUAUUGGGAUAUCAGGAGAUAGAGCUUGGAAAUCUGCAUGUUAUAAAACUUUCCAGGUAAAUAUUAGGCUUGAUAAAUUUGAAACUACUAAUUCAAAGAAUUAUCUCCCCAAAGACAUUUGCCUUUUAAUAGUAUUUUUUUUUUAAACUAAAGAAUAAAACUGUAGUUAUGCAAUUUUAGGCAUUUUUGUGUUAUUGGUUUGUCUUAGUCUUUUUGUGCUGCUAUAACAAAAUACCUGAGACUGGGUAAUUUAUAAAGAAUGGAAAAUUAUUUCCUCAGAGUUCUGGAGGCUGGGAGUCCAAGCUCAAAACAAGGUCAUGUGGUGAGGGCCUUCUUGCCAUGUCAUUAUGUGGCAGAAGGCAGAAGGGCAAAGCAAGCAAGAGAGCAAACCUGUUACAGCAAAGGGGUCCAGAUCCAUACCCCAAGAGAGGGUUCUUCAAUCUUGCACAAGAAAGAAUUCAGGGGAAGUCUGUAGAGUGAGGUGAAAGCAAAUUUAUUAAGAAAGUAAAGGAACAAAAGAAUGGCUACUCCAUAGACAGAGCAGCCCUGAGGGCUGCUGUUUGCCCAUUUUUAUGGUUGUUUCUUGAUGAUAUGCUAAACAAGGGGUAGAUUAUUCAUGCCUCCUCCUCCUUUUAGACCAUAUUAUGUAACUUCCUGAUGUUGCCAUGGCAUUUGUAAACUGUCAUGGCGCUGGUGGGAGUGUAGCAGUGAGGACGAGAGAGGUCACUCUCAUCACCACCAUCUUGGUUUUGGUGGGUUUUGGCCAGUUUUUUUACUACAGCCUGUUUUACCAGAAAGGUCUUUAUGACCUGUAUCUUGUUCUGACUUUCUAUUUCAUCCUGUAGCUUACAAUGUCUUUAACCAUCUGGGAAUGCAGCCCAGCAGAUCUCAGCCUCAUUUUACCCAGCUCCUAUUUAAGAUGGAGUUGCUCUGGUUCAAAUGCCUCUGACAAACCCACAUCUGCCAGCCCUUUUAAUAAAUACAUUAAUCAAUUUAUAAGAGUGGAAUCCUCAUUACUGUGGACAAAAAAGAGUCAAACUAUGUAAAAUACUUGAAGAGGUUUAUUCUGAGCCAAAUGUGAGCGCCAUUACCCAUGACAUAGCCCCAAGACAUCCUGAAAAGUGUGCCCAAGGUGGUCUGGUUACAGCUUGAUUUUAUACAUUUUAGGGGAAAAGAAGUUACAGGCAGAGACAUAAAUCAAUAGAUGUUAGGUGUACAUUGGUUCAGCCUGGAAAACGGGACAUCUUGAAGCCAGGUAGCUGCGUGUGGGUUAGGGUGGGAGGGGUGGAGGGGGGUGAGGGUUGGAGAUAACUUUCAGGUCAUAGGUGGAUUUAAAGAUUUCCUGAUUGAAAAUUUUUUGAAAGGGCUAAACUCUGCCUGAAGAGUUGAAGUCAGCGGAAAAAAAAUCUAGUUAAGAUAAGGGUGGUUGUGGAAGCCUAGGCCUAGGUUUUUGUUAUGUAGAUGAAGCCUCCAGGUAGCAGGCUUCAAAGAAAAACAGAUGGUAAAUGUCUCUGAUCAGACCCUAAAAGACUGUUAGUUAAUCUCUCCUGGAUCAGGAAAGGACCCAAAAAGGGAAGAGGAUUUUCUUUUCCUUUGAAAACCCAUUAAAACUUUGGAGGGAACAAAAAUACUGAAACCCCAGCAUGGUUUUUUUUUUUUUUUUUUUUUUUUUUUUAAAUACUAUAGAAAUCAGACCAUGGUAGCUAGCAUGGACAUAUGGACAUUCCUGGUUAAAUAAUUCUAGGAAAAAAAUCAUUGAUUUUAGGAUCUGAAGAAUUCUACCUAAAUAAAUACUCCAUGUGUUACAAGUAACAAGAAAUUUAAUUGAUUGGCUAGUUUCUUGGAAAUCUUAGAUCAUAUACAAAGUUAUAUCUCCAGCUAAAUAUGUUAGAAAAUAGCAUUUCUUUAGUUUUCUAAAGAGAAGAAAAAACAGGCAAAUAUCAAUAGAUUGAAUUUAAGCUACAUGCUAGGAUGAACUUCUGUAUCUUUUUGAAAAGCAAAAUGUGUCUUUGAGGCAAUUAUCAGGAUAAUUUAAGCUUAAAAAUCAUUCACUUGAAAUAUCCACAGUCAUGAAAAUGAUAAUUUUUAGGAAACAUAUUAUUCUGAUAGCUUCUUCAAUACAUUCAAUCACUUUAUGGGGGAUUAAUGUAGACUAGAAACACAAGAACUUGACAUGUUUUCCAAGGAAUUUAUGGAUUUUCUAUUUCUUUCCUUGAAGUUCCCAGAUAAGUUUACCAAGAGUGAUUCUAAAUGCAAAAUUAGUGCAUCCAAUUAAUUCAUUAAAAGGUGGUUGAAUUCAGUUAAGUGAUUAUUUAUUUUGGACGUUGGAGGGUAGAAGGAGUAUGCCCUUAAUUACACCAAAUUACCAAUUUGGUCGAUUUCUUCAUUUUUAGUGAGUUGUUUUGGCAAGGUGGGAUAAUGGCUCGGUUUAUGUGAUCUAUCAUUUGAAAAGUAUAUAAUUUUUCUGAAUGCUAGUCAGAGCACUUCAUAAUGCUGCUAAUGGCUAACUGGAGGUUCAAUAUGCUGAUGCAUCUGCUUCCUAAUGAGACUUUUACCUUGACAAAGUGAGAAAUGUCACCUUGGGUCAGUCCCAGUUUUAGCCGACUCAGAACUCUGCCUCAGGUAAUGGAAAUAAGGAAUUGAUUUAGGGAGAGCAUAGGGAAUAUUUUCCUUGGUGUUUACCCAGGACUGUUUUGUUUGAAACAAAAAAUGAGUUAUAUUUUAUGUAAAUAAAGUAUCAGGCCAUGAUAAAGAUGUUAAAUGUCUGUAUCAAUAACAAUAAAAAGCCAAGAAAUUGAAUUUUUCAGU
RNAcentral lists this long non-coding RNA (4071 nucleotides) under Homo sapiens (human). Its description in RNAcentral is "non-protein coding lnc-MBD2-3:1". Lineage: Eukaryota; Metazoa; Chordata; Mammalia; Primates; Hominidae. The record is from RNAcentral.